RNAcentral lists this ribosomal RNA (500 nucleotides) under Curtos bilineatus. RNAcentral's name for it is "partial 16S ribosomal RNA". The stretch from base 380 to 500 matches the Rfam family "Bacterial large subunit ribosomal RNA", at positions 2473 to 2594 of the family's 2925-position model. Lineage: Eukaryota; Metazoa; Arthropoda; Insecta; Coleoptera; Lampyridae. The record is from RNAcentral.
CUCUUUUUGAUAAUAAUUUAAAGUUUAAUCUGCUCAAUGAAAAUUAAAUUGCUGCAGUAUUUUGACUGUACAAAGGUAGCAUAAUAAUUAGUUUUUUAAUUGAAAACUGGAAUGAAUGAUUGGACGAGAAAAUUUCUGUCUUUUUAUUAUUUUUAUUGAAUUUUACUUUUAAGUUAAAAGGCUUAAAUUUUUUUAAAAGACGAGAAGACCCUAUAGAGUUUAAUUUUUAAUUUAUUUAUUAUUAUUAGAAUUUAAUUUAUUAGUUAAGUUAAGAAUUUGGUUGGGGUGACUAUUAGAUUAAUUUAACUCUUUUAAUUUUUAAUCAAUUAUUUUUGAUUAUAAAAUCUAUAUUUUUAAUUUUAAAAUAAAUUACCUUAGGGAUAACAGCGUAAUUUUUCUUUAAAGUUCUUAUUAAAAGAAGAGUUUGCGACCUCGAUGUUGGAUUAAAAUUUAUUUUAGGUGUAGAAGCUUAAAUAUUAAGUCUGUUCGACUUUUAAAAU